ACUCAAAUGAAUAGACGGGGGCCCGCACAAGCGGUGGAGCAUGUGGUUUAAUUCGAUGCUACACGAAGAACCUUACCUACUUUUGAUCUCCAUAACUAAAUAGAGAUAUUUAGGUGCCUUAGGGAAAUGGAUGACAGGUGUUGCAUGGCUGUCGUCAGCUCGUGUUGUGAGAUGUUGGGUUAAGUCCCGUAACGAGCGCAACCCUUAUCCUUAGUUACUAACAAGUUAUGUUGAGCACUUUAAGGAAACUGCCGGCGAUAAUCCGGAGGAAGGUGGGGAUGAUGUCAAGUCAUUAUGGCCUUUAUGAGUAGGGCUACACACGUGCUACAAUGGUUAAUACAAAGGGCAGCGAAACUGUGAAGUGAAGCAAAUCCUAAAAAAUUAAUCGUAGUCCGGAUUGGAGUCUGCAACUCGACUCCAUGAAGUUGGAAUCGCUAGUAAUCGUGGAUCAGAAUGCCACGGUGAAUACGUUCUCGGGCCUUGCACACACCGCCCGU
This 497-nucleotide ribosomal RNA is filed under the name uncultured bacterium. Its description in RNAcentral is "partial 16S ribosomal RNA". It matches the Rfam family "Bacterial small subunit ribosomal RNA", at positions 899 to 1397 of the family's 1533-position model. The record is from RNAcentral.